This 497-nucleotide ribosomal RNA is filed under the name uncultured bacterium. Its description in RNAcentral is "partial 16S ribosomal RNA". It matches the Rfam family "Bacterial small subunit ribosomal RNA", at positions 28 to 507 of the family's 1533-position model. The record is from RNAcentral.
GAUGAACGCUGGCGGCGUGCCUAAUACAUGCAAGUCGAGCGAACGGACGAGAAGCUUGCUUCUCUGAUGUUAGCGGCGGACGGGUGAGUAACACGUGGAUAACCUACCUAUAAGACUGGGAUAACUUCGGGAAACCGGAGCUAAUACCGGAUAAUAUUUUGAACCGCAUGGUUCAAAAGUGAAAGACGGUCUUGCUGUCACUUAUAGAUGGAUCCGCGCUGCAUUAGCUAGUUGGUAAGGUAACGGCUUACCAAGGCAACGAUGCAUAGCCGACCUGAGAGGGUGAUCGGCCACACUGGAACUGAGACACGGUCCAGACUCCUACGGGAGGCAGCAGUAGGGAAUCUUCCGCAAUGGGCGAAGGCCUGACGGAGCAACGCCGCGUGAGUGAUGAAGGUCUUCGGAUCGUAAAACUCUGUUAUUAGGGAAGAACAUAUGUGUAAGUAACUGUGCACAUCUUGACGGUACCUAAUCAGAAAGCCACGGCUAACUACAUG